UGGCGCACGGGUGAGUAACGCGUAGGUAAUCUGCCUUUAUCCCUGACAUAACACCGAGAAAUUGGUGCUAAUAUCAGAUGAGGCCCUUAGGGGUCAAAGCUUCGGCGGAUAGAGAUGAGCCUGCGUCUGAUUAGCUAGUUGGUAAGGUAAUGGCUUACCAAGGCGACGAUCAGUAGCUGGUCUGAGAGGACGAUCAGCCACACUGGAACUGAGACACGGUCCAGACUCC
This 229-nucleotide ribosomal RNA is filed under the name uncultured bacterium. Its description in RNAcentral is "partial 16S ribosomal RNA". It matches the Rfam family "Bacterial small subunit ribosomal RNA", at positions 96 to 339 of the family's 1533-position model. The record is from RNAcentral.